This 514-nucleotide ribosomal RNA is filed under the name uncultured bacterium. RNAcentral's name for it is "partial 16S ribosomal RNA". It matches the Rfam family "Bacterial small subunit ribosomal RNA", at positions 29 to 523 of the family's 1533-position model. The record is from RNAcentral.
AACGAACGUUAGCGGCGCGCCUAACACAUGCAAGUCGCACGAGAAAGGGCUUCGGCCCCGGUACAGUGGCGCACGGGUGAGUAACACGUAGAUCAUCUCCCCUCGAGUGGUGGAUAACUCUCCGAAAGGAGAGCUAAUACAGCAUGAGACCACGGCUUCGUUGAAGCUGCGGCCAAAGCAGGCCUCUACACGUAAGCUUGCGCUUGAGGAUGAGUCUGCGGCCCAUCAGCUAGUUGGUAGGGUAAUGGCCUACCAAGGCUAAGACGGGUAGCUGGUCUGAGAGGAUGAACAGCCACACUGGAACUGAGACACGGUCCAGACUCCUACGGGAGGCAGCAGUGGGGAAUCUUGCGCAAUGGGCGAAAGCCUGACGCAGCGACGCCGCGUGAGCGAUGAAGGCCUUCGGGUUGUAAAGCUCUGUGGGGAGGAAAGAAUAAGGGUUGGCUAAUAUCCAGCUCGAUGACGGUACCUCCUUAGCAAGCACCGGCUAACUCUGUGCCAGCCGCCGCAGUAA